GGGUGGUUGACGUCUGGACGGUUACUCUCCGCGGCAUAAGUAAGGCAAUAGAUCGUUGUACGUGCGGUUCCUUGACGGUAGAAUCCCGGCGAGUUUAGCGUCGGAGGUGGAGUGGAGUUGUUCGGGAACACGAAACAUAACCGUCGUGGUCGCCGGAGAAGAGGAAGAGAAGGAAAAAAAAGACCAAAAAAAACAAAAAAAAACUGCCAGUUAUUCUAUAAAAAAAAUUUUUAAUUUUUACUUCCGUCGACUAAGAUCUUAGGAGACAGAAUAUUCCGUCGGCUAAGAAAAACUUAGUCGACGGAAAAGUAAUUUCCGUCGACUAAGUUCCGUCGAAUAAAAUCUUGGCAGACAACGCUUAGCCGACGGAUCUUAGCCGACGGAAUUAAUCUUUGCAGACGAAAUAUAUGUCUUAACCGACGGAACGGGUUCCGUCGGCUAAUAGCCAUAAUCCAGUGGUGAUUGUAGUCAAGGCGGUGAUCAGCUGAAGCGAAUUCGAGGCAUGAAGGUCGAAUGUAGCGAGUUGAAAUGACUUACUAUGAGCAUCAUGACGACCAAGGUUUCUACGGAUUUUCAUAGUAGUUACCGUGUUGGUCUUGUUUGUUGAUUUGAUUUGCGCCACCUUUGAUUCCAUGUGAUGAGAAUGACGCGAUCGUCGGAGAAAGUGGUGAGAGGCAGAGAUAGUCCCACUGGGCGCGUCAAUUUUGUAAACACGGAAAAUCUGCGACAAAUUACAGAAAGACACGUGUACAAAGAAUAGUAUAAUUUUAUUGAUAUGAAUGUGGGUUACAAAUCUUUGUGAACUCCUCUGAUUCUAUCUCCGAAUAUGAAUUUGACUCAAGGGUGACAAGCACUUGUUCUUGAGAUGUAAAGAGGUCACGAGAGUUGAUCACGCGACUAGUGUUUGAGAUUUGAGUUUGGUGAAGAACUGGCGGAAGCUUAAUAGUUCUUCGGGGGAUUUUGAGACUUCUGAGUUAUCGGGAGUGAUUUUUCUCUCUGUUGUCGAAAGUUCUCCUCUUGAUAUGAGAGGGGGUAUUUAUAGUGUCUAUGCUCCUCCGUAAAUGGAAUGUAUUGAAGUCACCACUUUAAUUGUAUUUCCUUAAUGAUAUAAUUAAAUCAAGAGUAAAUGACCAUUUACUACUAAUUUAACAUUCUUUUAGCCCAUUCCAAUGAAAAUCUAUUCAGCAACCCAAUUCCAAUGAAUUCUAACAAAAAGACGUCAAUACCCUCAUGCUAAUUUAACUCUCUUUCUCCUCUUUUUUCCCGAUCAUUAACUCUCUCUCUCAGAAAACUCUCCACCGCCAUUGAAGCAAUCUCACUAUACUCCGAGACCUUCUCGGCCGUCUCGGUACUCUCCAUCGCCAACUCUUCGUCGUCCUCCACCACCACCACCACCGGCUGCUUCAUCUUUGCGGAGGAGGAAGGAGCAGCCGCCUUAGAUUGCUUCGCCUUCGGCUUCGACUUCGUUGCCGCCUCAAUUUCAAUGCACGGCUGCAAACCGGCGUCUUCGUCCUCCACCACCGGCUGCUUUAGCUUUGCGGAGGAAGAAGAAGCGGCCGCCUUAGAUUGCUUUGCCUUCGGCUUCGACUUCGUUGCCGUCUCGAUUUCAGUGCACGGCUACAAACCGACGUCUUCUGGUUUUGGCGGCGGCUUCCGCUUCUUCGCGGCGGAAGAGGAAGCCGGAGGUAAACUUGAAAAUAUUGUUUUGCAAGUUUACUACCCCCAAUAAAAGUUUACUGGGGGUAGUAAACUUUAGUUUUUCGAAUCUAAAUUGUUCUUCCUCUGUUUUAGUAUGUAUUAUGGCCUUGAAAAUACUGUUUUGCAAGUUUACUAUCCCCAGUAGUAAACUUUAGUUUUUCGAAUCUAAAUUGUUCUUCCUCUGUUUUAGUAUGUAUUAUGGCCUUGAAAAUACUGUUUUACAAGUUUACUACCCCCAAUAAAAGUUUACUAGGGGCAGUAAAUUUUAUUUUUUGCAUCUAAGUUGAUUUUUCUCCAUUUUAAUGUGUACUUAUGACCUUGGAGAUAUUGUUUUGCAAGUUUACUACCCCCAGUAAAAGUUUACUGGGGGUAGUAAACUUUAGUUUAUCGAAUCUAAAUUGUUAUUCCUCUAUUUUAGUAUGUAUUAUGGCCUUGAAAAUAC
RNAcentral lists this long non-coding RNA (2140 nucleotides) under Fragaria vesca (wild strawberry). RNAcentral describes it as "long non-coding RNA (FVES_LNC002254)". The record is from RNAcentral. Lineage: Eukaryota; Viridiplantae; Streptophyta; Magnoliopsida; Rosales; Rosaceae.